Molecule: non-coding RNA, 1348 nt
Organism: Misgurnus anguillicaudatus (oriental weatherfish)
Lineage: Eukaryota; Metazoa; Chordata; Actinopteri; Cypriniformes; Cobitidae
Source: RefSeq, a predicted model, not a curated record
GGUAUUUCGAAUUACAUUUCAGAGCAGUGUUUUGAAACAACUACGCUUCGGGAUCUCGACACAGUUUCGAAACGUAAGUUUCGCGGCUGCCAUCCCUACAUGUCAUGUGUGUAUUCAUCAACACAUAUAUCAGUACUAGCUGAACUUCACCUCUAAAAUGAAAGAAACUGAGUGAGAGAUCAGGAUCACUUGUAUUCAGCUCUGUGUCUAUGAAGAGUGACAACUCCAAAGAUGAUGCACCAAAGUCUCAUAGAGAAUAAGUCUAGGAACCACAUGCUCAUUUUCUCGUAUUUGAGGUGCAACAGAGGUUCACAAAGGACAUGAAUUAUUUACCUUAUCGUCAAAGUUUGACUCCGUAAGCCGGUGUUUCACGUGUGGUGCCAGCCAGGACAAAAAUACAUAGAACGCCGGGACUUUUUUUCCCUUCUGGAUCCCCGCUCCUUGUGGCAAGUUUUUUACGGAGGCGAGACGUACUUAUCUCGAGUGCUCUUCCAUCUCUUCAUACAAUCCACCAUAUCCAAACUGACGUUAGAGGAAAUUUCUCCCCACGAAUUCACUGCCAUCUGGCAAUCUUUGUAAUCUGGUGAAGACGAGUCAUACAGACAGCUGUAUUUUCUCACUUCUUCAAUCAGUCUCUCGGUAGCUUGAUCCAUUUCCAUGUUUAUCACUAAACUUCGCUGCUGCAUUUAAAAAUGGCGGGCUGCGAAGAACACGCUGGAAAUGCAUAGGAGGAAACAGAAUGCAUUCACGCCGACCAAUCACAGAUCUUGCGGUCCGCGUCAUUUCGACGUGUAGUUACAUUUUUGAGGAGUUGCACGUCAGGUACUGCAAAGGGUAUGGCGACAGGGGUCGCGUCUAUGCGUAUGUUACGGUGUACCUAUAACGUGCCCCUGACGCAAAAGUAUAAAUUGGCCUUUACACAUACACUGUUGUCUUGUUAUAAUGUCUGCUCCAAAGAUAUUUUUCUGUUUUUUGCAUAAUUAGUGAGAGACCAGGAUCAGCUGUAUUCAGCUCUGUGUCUAUAAAGAGUGACCGUUCCAAAGGUGAUGGACCAAACUUCAGUGAGAAAACACCUACAAAUACUAAAAGCUCUGUGUCUAUGAAGAGUGACAUCUCCAAAGAUGUUGGACCACACUUCUGUGAGGAAACAUCAACAGCUACUAAAAGUAACCAAAGACCAGUGACCUCAGUAAAUAUUGGUUCAGAAAUUAACCGAUGGAAAGCACUAAAAGAACAGAGAGGAAUAAAGAGUGAUGAGGAACUGGCAACUUUUCUGAUCAACAGACUUCAGUAUGAGACAUCAGAGGCAGACAUUCAGAAUUGUGAAGACGAUCUUCCUCGAAUCUUU